GGACUACCGGGGUAUCUAAUCCUGUUUGCUCCCCACGCGGUCGUGGCUCAGCGUCAGGUACGCGCCAGCACCCCGGCUGCCCCACGGGUAUUCUUCCUGAUCUCUACACAUUUCACUGCUCCACCAGGAGUUCUAGGUGCCUCUCACGCCCUCCAGCGACGCCGUUUCCCCGGUCCCCGCCCGGUUGAGCCGGGCGAUUUCACCGCAGGACGCACGCCACCGCCUGCCCACGCUUUACGCCCAGUAACUCCGGACAACGCUCGCCUCCUACGUAUUACCGCGGCGGCUGGCAC
Molecule: ribosomal RNA, 293 nt
Filed under: uncultured bacterium
Lineage: Bacteria
Description: partial 16S ribosomal RNA
Source: RNAcentral